GACAGAGGUGCCGAGCGUUAGGCGGAAUCACUGGGCUUAAAGCGUGUGUAGGCGGAUAGGUAAGUACCUUGUGAAAUCCCACGGCUCAACCGUGGAACUGCUCGGUAUACUGCUCGUCUUGAGCCAACUAGGGGCGACCGGAACAAACGGUGGAGCGGUGAAAUGCGUAGAUAUCGUUUGGAACGCCGAUGGUGAAAACAGGUCGCUGGGGUUGUGCUGACGCUGAGACACGAAAGCCAGGGGAGCGAACGGG
This 253-nucleotide ribosomal RNA is filed under the name uncultured bacterium. RNAcentral describes it as "partial 16S ribosomal RNA". It matches the Rfam family "Bacterial small subunit ribosomal RNA", at positions 524 to 776 of the family's 1533-position model. The record is from RNAcentral.